UACGGGGGGGGCGAGCGUUGUUCGGAAUUACUGGGCGUAAAGGGUGCGUAGGCGGUGCGGUAAGUCUGGUGUGAAACCUCUGGGCUCAACUCAGAGCUGGCAUCAGAGACUGCCGUGCUAGAGUGUGGGAGAGGAGAGUGGAAUUCCCGGUGUAGCGGUGAAAUGCGUAGAUAUCGGGAGGAACAUCGGUGGCGAAGGCGGCUCUCUGGACCACAACUGACGCUGAGGCACGAAAGCCAGGGGAGCAAACAGG
Molecule: ribosomal RNA, 253 nt
Filed under: uncultured prokaryote
Description: partial 16S ribosomal RNA
Rfam family: Bacterial small subunit ribosomal RNA
Source: RNAcentral